Molecule: ribosomal RNA, 954 nt
Filed under: Vibrio tubiashii
Lineage: Bacteria; Pseudomonadati; Pseudomonadota; Gammaproteobacteria; Vibrionales; Vibrionaceae
Description: bacterial SSU rRNA
Rfam family: Bacterial small subunit ribosomal RNA
Source: RNAcentral
GUAUUGCGCAGGCUACACAUGCAAGUCGAGCGGAAACGAGUUAACUGAACCUUCGGGGAACGUUAACGGCGUCGAGCGGCGGACGGGUGAGUAAUGCCUGGGAAAUUGCCCUGAUGUGGGGGAUAACCAUUGGAAACGAUGGCUAAUACCGCAUAAUAGCUUCGGCUCAAAGAGGGGGACCUUCGGGCCUCUCGCGUCAGGAUAUGCCCAGGUGGGAUUAGCUAGUUGGUGAGGUAAUGGCUCACCAAGGCGACGAUCCCUAGCUGGUCUGAGAGGAUGAUCAGCCACACUGGAACUGAGACACGGUCCAGACUCCUACGGGAGGCAGCAGUGGGGAAUAUUGCACAAUGGGCGCAAGCCUGAUGCAGCCAUGCCGCGUGUAUGAAGAAGGCCUUCGGGUUGUAAAGUACUUUCAGCAGUGAGGAAGGUGGGUAUGUUAAUAGCAUACUCAUUUGACGUUAGCUGCAGAAGAAGCACCGGCUAACUCCGUGCCAGCAGCCGCGGUAAUACGGAGGGUGCGAGCGUUAAUCGGAAUUACUGGGCGUAAAGCGCAUGCAGGUGGUUUGUUAAGUCAGAUGUGAAAGCCCGGGGCUCAACCUCGGAAUUGCAUUUGAAACUGGCAAACUAGAGUACUGUAGAGGGGGGUAGAAUUUCAGGUGUAGCGGUGAAAUGCGUAGAGAUCUGAAGGAAUACCGGUGGCGAAGGCGGCCCCCUGGACAGAUACUGACACUCAGAUGCGAAAGCGUGGGGAGCAAACAGGAUUAGAUACCCUGGUAGUCCACGCCGUAAACGAUGUCUACUUGGAGGUUGUGGCCUUGAGCCGUGGCUUUCGGAGCUAACGCGUUAAGUAGACCGCCUGGGGAGUACGGUCGCAAGAUUAAAACUCAAAUGAAUUGACGGGGGCCCGCACAAGCGGUGGAGCAUGUGGUUUAAUUCGAUGCAACGCGAAGACCC